GUUUCCUUGUUCUGACUAUCACUUGAACGUGGCAAUAAUACCACAAUGACAGAAGACUGUCCCAGUCAACACAUGAAACUACUUUCCUUCCGUGGUGACAUUCUCACAUUUCAAUACUAACGCUCCAUUCCCAGAGAUGGCGAAAGUUGAAGAGGAUCAGAACUGGCUUUCAGCAGACUGACAUUUCAAUGGAUGGCUGUACUUUCUCAAACGGUAAUGGUGGUAAUAUGGCUGUUAUCAACAGAAAGAGUUAAUCAGAUGUUGAUAUGGUGGCAUGCAUCUUUGCCCUACAUGUGGGAAACAGUGACUUCACCAUGCAUUUUACUGAUAAGUAGGGGGAUGUGUUCAAGUACAGGCUUCUCACUCUGAGCAGGUCAAAUAGAUAAGAGCCACAUAUGGAGUUUAAACUACCAUACCGGAUUAAAGGAAAUGUUACUGUCUUGAAGGGCCCUAGUGUAAUAUGGAGCCAUGAAGGUGUUGUCUUUUACAUUUCUCUACAAGCAGGUGAAGUUAGACAAAUGCCUAUCAAGCUCGCUCUGAACUUUAUUGGUGAGGAUCCCCUCAACAAAAGGAAAAUAUUCAUACUAGAUUCCCAAACACUAUCCAAAGAAUGCCUGAAUGAUCAAUUGGACUUUCCAGGGAGGAGCAAAACCCUGGGGUAUUUUGUAGAGGAAGGACAAGUAUUUAACGGUGCUCUGAUCUUACCUCAUGCCUACAGUUCCAUCACACCGUGUAGAUUUGUGAUUUCAGCUGAAGAGGUGAACAGUGUGUCAAAAUCAACUGGUGGCAGCGACCAGUAAAAAGCAGUUGCUGUAUUUGAAAGGUAUGCCAGGUUUCCUUUUGAAGAACCUCAUCACAUUCAGAUGGUCAACACUGGACGGAAUGGAUGUCUGUUUGCCAUCUCUUUCAACCAUGUGCAGUCUGUGCAGUAUGGAAAGACACUUUUCAGGUAGCAUCAUGCUGGUUGGGUGUGAGCUCCCUCCGUGAGGAUGACGUUGUGAACUGUGGAACAGAUCAGAUACUGCUGGUCUUUGGAAGCCAGAGCCCUACUGUGGGUCCAGUGGAUCAAUACCUCAUCACAGAUCUCUGCGGGACAACCUAUUCUGAGAGACGCUGUACUUUUCUGCUCUUCUUUACCAGUCUUAUAACACCCUACUUAUAACCUAGUUCUGAUGUGUGAAGAUUGUUGUAUGUUUCAGCAUGGACAUGGGAGCGGUGAAGGACGGACCAUAUCUGACACAGCUCAAGAGAACUACCUCCUAACUGUCAAAACUCUACAGGACAGACUACAGAGGGGUCUGACCUUGCUCUGGGUUCUUCAGAGAGAUGUAAGGGUAAAAGAGAGGAUUCUACACCAGUCAGUCUAAGCCCUUACAGAAGAGGUCUCAGGAAGAGAACACAUUCUCACCCAGACAGAGCAGGUGAUUGUCAAUCGCAGAGUCAUGCUUAUC
Molecule: long non-coding RNA, 1451 nt
Organism: Oncorhynchus tshawytscha (Chinook salmon)
Lineage: Eukaryota; Metazoa; Chordata; Actinopteri; Salmoniformes; Salmonidae
Exons: 3
Source: RefSeq, a predicted model, not a curated record